This 558-nucleotide long non-coding RNA is filed under the name Homo sapiens (human). RNAcentral describes it as "non-protein coding LINC00461:21". The record is from RNAcentral. Lineage: Eukaryota; Metazoa; Chordata; Mammalia; Primates; Hominidae.
ACACCGCCGUCCGCGGGCUGAGCUUCAGUGACACCGAAGGGCACUGGCCAACAUGUCAAAACAGUUUUGAUUCCAUGAACCAAAGGGCGCACAAGGUCUAUUGCAAGCUCAGGUGAAGUCGUGGGACUCCAAAGGUAGUGGCUUUCUUGCUGCUGGUCGAUUUGCAUUACAGAGGCCGUUUACUUUCAAUUCCACUUUUACAAAAGUAGUCAAGCUCUGUAUUUCACAGGAAAUUGCUUUGGAGAUGAGGAAACAAACUCUUAUGGAGACCUAAGAGACUGAAGACAUCUGGCGUGGACUACUCUGAUGGUAAAAUUGAAAGUACACCUAAAUUUGCUUUGUUACAGGAUUCUCUUCAGAGGACAAGAGAAGAUGUUACAUUCUCUGCAUGAGGACAAUUCUGCAGCAUCAAAAUCGAAUAAUAUUUGUUUUCUGGCAGCAGAAUUUUGUAUCAUAUUUCUAAAGACAGUAAGCACUUGGGUGGACGUCAAUGAAUACUAAACACUAAUUGAUCUGAUACAGCCGUAUGCACAUACACAGAUAUACAUGGUGGCUUGU